GACGAACGCUGGCGGCGUGCUUAACACAUGCAAGUCGAACGGAAAGGCCCUGCUUUUGUGGUGUGCUCGCGUGGCGCACGGGGGUGUAACACGUGAGUAUCCUGUCCUUGACUGUGGGAUAACUUCUGGAAACUCGGGCUAUUACCGGAUAGGAGCUCCUGCUGCAUGGUGGGGGUUGGAAAGUUUCGGCGGUUGGGGCUGGACGGGCGGCUUAUCAGCUUGUUAGUGGGGGAGUGGCUGACCAAGGCUUUGCGGGGUAGCCGGCCUGAGCGGGUGACCGGGGACCAUAGGACUGAGGUACGGAGCAGAAGGGAACGGGAGGCAGCGGUGGGGAAUAUGACGCAGUGGGCGGGAGUGAGAGGCGGAGGCGCCGCGUGCGGGAAGACGGCUUUUGGGUUGAAAACCACUGUCGCCUGAGACGAAGCGGGAGUGACGGUAAUGAGUAAAGAAGCAACGGCUAACUACGUG
Molecule: ribosomal RNA, 468 nt
Filed under: uncultured bacterium
Lineage: Bacteria
Description: partial 16S ribosomal RNA
Rfam family: Bacterial small subunit ribosomal RNA
Source: RNAcentral